Oryzias melastigma (Indian medaka) is the source of this 1530-nucleotide long non-coding RNA. RefSeq lists it as uncharacterized. The record is from RefSeq and is a predicted model, not a curated record. Lineage: Eukaryota; Metazoa; Chordata; Actinopteri; Beloniformes; Adrianichthyidae. The transcript is spliced from 3 exons.
AUGGUUAUUCUGACAAAUAAAAUAAAUAGCUGAGAAAUGACUGUCUUUUUCUCAAUGGAAGUCUAUGGGACUUUGGCCUUCUUGCAACCUGCAGGUACUUCCUAUUUGGAACACGUUGGGGGGGGUUGAGCUGUCCAUUGUUUUCACGUCAAUGGUCCCUCAAUUCUAUAUGGAUGAACUCUAUUCAAAUACGUAGUUGUAGAAUUAGAUAAGCUAAUUCUUCUUUAACAGUCCUGGUAAAUCGCCUGUCCGUCCUGGAAUAGGAUCUCUCCUUCAUGUAGACAUCCUUAAGGUUUCUUCUUUUUUCCUGAAUCAGGUUUUUUGAAUGUUUCAGCAGUGACCCGACCUCACACCGACGGCCCGUGUCAGCUUCAGUAUCAGGGUCUACAUCUUUGCUGCGCCCCGCCCCGAUGGAAACACUACGGGGACGGUGGAUGAAUGGGUGGAUGAGGGAAAGACAGGUGAGGCUGUGCAAACAAAAGGUGCUGAAAGGGUGUAGCAGGUGCAGGAACAGCUUCCAGUGGCGGCGGCGGCGUUAAAACCUCAAAGGUGACCAGCGUCUCCUCCGAGAUGCUGAACGCUCCUGUGUGGGGGGGGGUGACGGACAGGUAGACUCUGCAGGCUGCAGCCGUGCCAGCAUUCUCCAGCGUGGGAAAGAGAGCAAAUGUUUGCAGAGGGCGAGCACGGCGCCGAGGAGGAGGAAGUGCACGGUGACCGUGAUGAGAACCCAGAUAAACAGGAUGUUUUUGGUGACUUUUAGCUGCAUCUCUGCUCUCAGAGAUCAAUGCUGACAUGUGGACUCUGGUAAAAAUUCAUGUAUUAAUGGUGAUUAUCCUGCUUCCAUCAACGGCUGUGGAGCUCGCGGUCAGCCUGCUGCUGUUACCUUCUCCUCUGGGUUUGAAUCCAAAACCUGCUCAGAUUAGUGAACUCUCAGGAGUGGAAAGCGUUUCUAUGUUGAUCAUAUUUUCAGAUAAAUGACUUUUUGUCUCAAUCCAGACCCCCAGUGAUGAAAAGCUGCUUAGAUUGCGGCAUGAGCGGUGCUGCCACACCUCCUUCCUCAGACAGGAUCUCCAGGAGUUGGUUCUUGAUGGCAGAAAGAAUGGCGAGCAUGCAGGUCUGGAACCCUUCUAAAUGACAGGAAUGCAACGUUCACUUUUCCUCCUGCGGAGCCUCAACCGUCCUGAUACACCAAGAAUCCGUCCGUAUCUAAUCUGAGGCGGGAGACUUCAGCAUCCAAACCUGCUUUUCGAAGGAGCUCAGGCCUCAAGCUGAAGGAUCAGCCGUCUGGACUCAGGCCCGCUCAGAACCUUCAGACGAGGUUUCAGUCAGAAAACCUGACGGCCUGCUCAUCAUUCUACUCAGCUACAGUAGUUAUCGCUCCACUGAUCCAACCUCCUGUCGUGUAAAUUUGUCACUUUGCAUUUGAUCUGCAGGUUAAAGCACACAUGUCAAAGUCAAGGCCCGCGGGCCGCAUCUGGCCCACCGGGUGAUUAUAUCCGCCCCUCCAGGUCAUUUUAUUUUACUGUUAUU